UACGAAGGUCCCAAGCGUUAUCCGGAUUUAUUGGGUUUAAAGGGUGCGUAGGCGGGUUAUUAAGUCAGUGGUGAAAGCCUUCAGCUUAACUGAAGAACUGCCAUUGAUACUGAUGAUCUUGAGUAUGAUUGAGGUGGGCGGAAUGUGUCAUGUAGCGGUGAAAUGCUUAGAUAUGACACAGAACACCGAUUGCGAAGGCAGCUCACUAAGCCAUAACUGACGCUGAUGCGCGAAAGCGUGGGGAGCAAACAGG
RNAcentral lists this ribosomal RNA (253 nucleotides) under uncultured bacterium. Its description in RNAcentral is "partial 16S ribosomal RNA". It matches the Rfam family "Bacterial small subunit ribosomal RNA", at positions 524 to 776 of the family's 1533-position model. The record is from RNAcentral.